UACACAGUAUUGUUGAAACUCACAUUAAUUAGCUACUUGAUAUGGGCGUCACUGCUAUUAGCUUCACAACUGACAUUUUAACCAGCGAUGUCAGCCCAAUGAGCAUGCUGAGUCUGACAGCACAGUGGGUCGACGAGGAUUUCGUAAUGAGGAAAGCCGUAUUGCAUGCUCAAGAAUGUGCUGGUUCUCAUAACGCUUCUGCCAUUUCAAUGGCAUUUGAGACCAUGUUUGAAACAUGAACACACUCCUCGCUCCAUUCGAACAACUGACUUGAGAAAUAAGCUCUUCAACUGCGUCUGCAGCAGACGUGAUAUCCUCCGUCAUGGCACUUGAAAGACCUGCUCAACAAAACUGUCAAAACAGACCGUGGGGUUAAAACUUGCAAAAGUACUCUACUAGAGGCUGUGAACAAGUGAUUCGGUGGCAUUCUUUGCGGUGUCGCCGCUAUGCUCGAUGCUAGAUACAAGGGCCGCUACUUUGAUGCAGACAAGAAACAGGGUUUAACUGAAAUGUUUGACACAGCUGAACAAUAUGGAAACGUACACAGUGACAGUGCGCACCGAAGAGGACCCACGACAGAAGAGACCAUGGACAGAGAGCUGAAACUUCACUGCUUGACAUGUAUGAUCAAAUCCUGGUUGAGAUUGAAAUGACUGAACAAAUGAACAACGAAACAGCACAGCAAUCCAACAGGAGUGUAUCCCUCAGACAAUCCGGUGCAUGGACAUCUUGUACCAGUUGUGAUCCAAGCGUGAGCAUCUAGUUGUGGAGACUACAACAGAUAGAGCCUGUGGACGGACAGACAUGAGGCGUGACAUGCAGAACAACAAGCUCACCCCACGAGAAGCAGUGCAUGAUCAACGCCAUCCUCAGCAAGAUCUGCUGGAAGUGAUGUACUCUCUCACUCACUCCCUCUGGGGGUAAGACAUCAUUUAAACAUCACAGGAAUAUAUUCCCACUGUGCCCAUGAUAAAAUGCAAUGUCAACUGUUUUACUACUGAAUGAAACUGAGGAGAUGCAUUCAGACCAGCCUGUGAUUGAACUUAAGUUAACUAUAUUACUUUAGUUGGCUGCUGUGAGCAAAACUGGAAUAUAAUAUAACCUAUUCUAGGAACCUUUUGUUUGUGUAUGAUCUUUAUUCAUUGUUCACUUGUUUUUCAACAAUGUCAGGUACAGGCAGGGAUGACUGGGGCCUUCAUCAAGACACAGGGGUAAAAAAUAAUUUGAACAUCACAUGUAUAAAUUCCCACUGUGCCCAUGAUAAAGUUAACCACAUAAAUGUAUUUGUAUGUAAUAUAACCUAUUAUGGGAGCCUAGUGUGUUUGUAUGAACUGUGUAGAAUAUUUUGGGAAUAUGAGUCUGUCAGAGGUUGUCAUGCUGGAUGGGGAUGAUGACGGAGGCUUUGGUGGUCCACACAACAAAGUAGGUGUCCCUUCCAGUGAUGAGGAUCUGACCUUGGACCUGGUACCAGUAAGAAUGGUCUUUACGGAGGUGGUAAGAUCAUACCUCCUUGAUAUAGAAAUCCUUCGACUUCACUGCCUCUUCAGUGGUAAGAUCCCUUGCACCAUAGGGACACUUGACCUCCACCACUGCUGUGGUGCCCACCAGGCCAUCCGGUGAGGCACCCAGGAUCCCAGACUCCAUGACACAAAGUCUUGACUCCUGCAGAUCCAUCCCUGUAGCCAUUUUUAUUGCCCUCGUCUUUGAUAUCUAUGCCCCACUUUACAGACAACAACCCAUCCAAUGACUGUGAUCGGAGGACCCUUUUAGCAGCAACAGAGUAACGGGCUUGGCCCUAACCACUGCUCCAUAACUGCUGGCCGUCAACCUCCCUCCCCUCAUGGUGUGCCAGUUGGGGUUGGUGCGCUGUCCAGCUUGGUGCGCUGGGGUUGGUGUGCUGCCGUAAAGCCUCCUGCUGCUCCACCGACAGCGCCAUGCCAGCCAGGAUGCCUGCAAGCCCCAGGUUCCCUUGCUUCGAAACAAUGUCCGGUACAAGACAGGGAUGACAGAAAGGGUAGCGGUUGUUCUGGCUCAGGUUCAUGGAGAUAUGCCAUUCCAUUGAACUUGCCCUGGAGACGGUUCCUUAGCCACUGAAGAUCGUCCUCUGUGGGAUCCCCUGGACAGAGGGUUGCAGUCUUCGGCCGGGUACAGGUCCGCCACUAACUGCACCUAGUUGGGCACAGCUGGCUUAGGCUAUAUGGCUACACUUACGAGCUCCACGGAGGCAUUCACAUGGGGUAGAGAGAAUCCCCUGGUCACCUAUAGACACCUGCCAAGAUGAAGGAUAUUAAGUGCCACGUCUUUCAAUGCAUGACUUUGAACACCUUUAAAUUAAUUUGUAAUAAGAA
Long non-coding RNA from Oncorhynchus keta (chum salmon), 2348 nucleotides. RefSeq lists it as uncharacterized. NCBI's taxonomy places the organism in Eukaryota, Metazoa, Chordata, Actinopteri, Salmoniformes, Salmonidae. The transcript has 3 exons. The record is from RefSeq and is a predicted model, not a curated record.